RNAcentral lists this ribosomal RNA (564 nucleotides) under uncultured Glomeromycotina. RNAcentral describes it as "SSU rRNA". It matches the Rfam family "Eukaryotic small subunit ribosomal RNA", at positions 549 to 1114 of the family's 1831-position model. Lineage: Eukaryota; Fungi; Glomeromycota. The record is from RNAcentral.
UGGAGGGCAAGUCUGGUGCCAGCAGCCGCGGUAAUUCCAGCUCCAAUAGCGUAUAUUAAAGUUGUUGCAGUUAAAAAGCUCGUAGUUGAAUUUCGGGGUCAGUAGGUUGGUCGUGCCACUGGUAUGCACUGGUCUCACUGAUUCCUCCUUCCUGAUGAACCGUAAUGCCAUUAAUUUGGUGUUGCGGGGAAUCUGGACUGUUACUUUGAAAAAAUUAGAGUGUUUAAAGCAGGCUCACGCUUGAAUACAUUAGCAUGGAAUAACGAAAUAGGACGUUUGAUUCUAUUUUGUUGGUUUCUAGGAUCGACGUAAUGAUUAAUAGGGAUAGUUGGGGGCAUUAGUAUUCAAUUGUCAGAGGUGAAAUUCUUGGAUUUAUUGAAGACUAACUACUGCGAAAGCAUUUGCCAAGGAUGUUUUCAUUAAUCAAGAACGAAAGUUAGGGGAUCGAAGACGAUCAGAUACCGUCGUAGUCUUAACCAUAAACUAUGCCGACUAGGGAUCGGAUGGUGUUAAUUUUUUAAUGACUCAUUCGGCGCCUUACGGGAAACCAAAGUGUUUGGGUUC